This 58-nucleotide transfer RNA is filed under the name Schistocephalus solidus. It matches the Rfam family "tRNA", at positions 8 to 63 of the family's 71-position model. Rfam says of the family: Transfer RNA (tRNA) molecules are approximately 80 nucleotides in length. Their secondary structure includes four short double-helical elements and three loops (D, anti-codon, and T loops). Lineage: Eukaryota; Metazoa; Platyhelminthes; Cestoda; Diphyllobothriidea; Diphyllobothriidae. The record is from Rfam by way of RNAcentral.
UGGCUUAAUGGUUAGGGCGUUUGACUUCUGGUCAACUGGUUGCGGGUUCAAGCCUCGC